This 105-nucleotide microRNA precursor is filed under the name Medicago truncatula (barrel medic). Its description in RNAcentral is "miRNA gene20820". It matches the Rfam family "MIR2587 microRNA precursor family". Lineage: Eukaryota; Viridiplantae; Streptophyta; Magnoliopsida; Fabales; Fabaceae. The record is from RNAcentral.
UUAUGAUAUCAUGAUCAUUGCUGAUCAUUCAUACGAUCCCUGCAAUUGUUCUGCAGUUUUUGAGGGGAUCGUACGAUGGUUGACAAAGACCUUCGACAUCAAUUA